CGCCAGGGAAUUACGAGCGCAAGCUUAAAAUCCAAAGGAUUUGACGGUGUCCCACCCACCUAGAGGAGCCUGUUCUAUAAUCGAUAAUCCUCGAUAUACCCAACCAUUUCUUGCUUUUCAGCCUGUAUACCUCCGUCGUAAGCUUACCAUUUGAAUGUAAAAAAGUAAGUUUAAGGAUCAUUCAUCAACACGUCAGGUCAAGGUGCAGCCAAUGUAAUGGAAAGUAAUGGGCUACAAUUUCUAUAAUAGAACAAACGAAACACUGCAUGAAAAAUUAGUCAUGAAGGCGGAUUUAGUAGUAAAAAAAGAAUAGAGNGCUUUUUUUAACAAGGCCCUGGGACGUGUACAAACCGCCCGUCACCCUCUUCAAAAGUNAAACAUAAGUUUUUAACAUAUCAUCAACACUAUUGAAGAGGCNNGUCGUAACAUGGUAAGUGUACUGGAAAGUGCACUUGGCAAA
RNAcentral lists this ribosomal RNA (460 nucleotides) under Mantella madagascariensis (Madagascar golden frog). Its description in RNAcentral is "partial 12S ribosomal RNA". It matches the Rfam family "Bacterial small subunit ribosomal RNA", at positions 870 to 1521 of the family's 1533-position model. The record is from RNAcentral. Lineage: Eukaryota; Metazoa; Chordata; Amphibia; Anura; Mantellidae.